AAAAAGACAAACCCUAGGUUUCCAUGUCCAACUUUAACUGUCCAUUUUAUAGGAAAAUUUUUUAUAAUUAGUAUUUUUAUUGUUGUUAGAUGAUAAAAUAUGAUUAAUAUUUUAUACGUGACUUGUCUUUUUAACUUUUUUUCAUAAUUUUUUUAAAUAAGAUAGACGGUUAAAUGUUGGGCACGAAAAUCAGGGUU
Molecule: microRNA precursor, 197 nt
Filed under: Oryza barthii
Lineage: Eukaryota; Viridiplantae; Streptophyta; Magnoliopsida; Poales; Poaceae
Description: MIR812 microRNA precursor family
Rfam family: MIR812 microRNA precursor family
Source: Rfam by way of RNAcentral